RNA transcript from Cannabis sativa, 2060 nucleotides. It is a transcript of the gene named actin-related protein 2/3 complex subunit 2A, with no coding region annotated. Lineage: Eukaryota; Viridiplantae; Streptophyta; Magnoliopsida; Rosales; Cannabaceae. The transcript is spliced from 9 exons. The record is from RefSeq and is a predicted model, not a curated record.
GGAAUUAAAAGAAAAGUCGACGCUCACAUGCAAAGCAACCAAUGAAGAGAAGAAGAUGCUCAUUGCAAUUGCAUUUGCAUUUGCACCCCUAAAGAAAACUUCUUCUUUUCUUUUCUUUUUUUCACAAAAUACCUUCCUUCCUACCUACCAACAUCUUCUUGUGAUUUUUUAUUUUUUUUUCAUUUUCUUAAAAAGUUGAUGAAAUUUGCCAAAUAAAUAACACCAUGAGGAAAUAUUGUUAUUUUUAUUUUUACUAAGAAGAUGAGUUAUUAUUGUUAGAAAAAAGAUGCAAAAUGGAAGUGAAACUAUUUUUUUAUAAAUUAUUAUUUAAUUGUCCAAAAAAAGCACAAACAAACAAUAACGACUAUUAAGGGGAGAUCCAAAGUUUGAGUUCAAAAGUUUGGAAUCCCUCACUCUCCUUCUCUUCCCAAUUCUCAAAAAUGAUUCUUUUGCAGUCUCACUCCAGAUUUCUGCUUCAGACCUUGCUCAAUCGAGUUCAAAAUCUCGAUAAGGGUGUUGAAUUGGAUUACCAUUGGAUUGAGUUUGAUGAUGUUCGCUUCCAUAUUCAGGUUUCAGUGAAGAACCCACAUCAUGUUUUGUUGUCGGUAUCACUACCCACCCCACCUCCAGAAACUGCUUUCGUCGGUGGACUUCCAUUGGGAGCUUUAGAAGCCAUUAAAAUUGCAUACAGUGGCUUUGUUCAAGUUCUUGAUCCUCCAAGAGAUGGCUUCAAUCUCACUCUCAAACUCAACCUUUCUAAACUCCCCCCAGAUGAAGAAUACAAGCAUGCUAUUUUGAUCAAAAUUGCAUCUGUGAGAGAAGUGGUACUUGGUGCUCCAUUAAGACUAAUUCUUAAAGGUCUUGGCUCAAGGAUGAGUGCUUCCAAUAUCGACCGCCUUGUUGCACUUGUGCACCGAUCAAAGGAGUCUUUCUUCCUCCUUCCUCAGUGGCAGGCAGAAAAAGUGACUGUUGUGUUUCCAAUGAGAUUUAAGGACUCUGUAGACAUUGUCCUUGCAACUUCCUUCCUGCAGGAAUUUGUUGAAGCAAGACGGGCAGCGGGACUUAAUAACGCUCCCCUUUGUCUGUGGUCACCCACACCUCCUUUAGAAUUGAAGGGGGCUCCUGCUGAAUCAUUAUCUGCAAACGCAGGCUUUAUAACAAUUGUCAUUUUGCCUCGACAUGUAGAAGGCAAAAAACUGGACCGCACAGUUUGGAGUUUAUCAACUUUCCAUGCAUAUGUUAGUUACCAUGUUAAGUGUUCGGAGGGUUUCAUGCAUACACGGAUGCGACGUCGUGUGGAAUCUUUAAUUCAGGUAAAAUAUGGUCCUUAAGUGUUAAAUAUGUACACUUUCUUUUCUGUUUGAUAAUUUUUUUAUCUAUAUUAAGAAAUGGCACUGGGCAAAUAGACACCUAACAUGUUGUUUGUCUUAGAUCAAUGUGUGUGUGCUUUUACUUGUGUUGUUUGAGCUAGUUGACUGUGAUUUGCAGCUCGUUCAUGGGGUCAUCAUUAUUAUUAGCUGAUUGAUAUGUUUGAGGUGACAUCUAGGAACAGCGCUAUAAGAAAGCACAACUUGUUUAAAAGCCCUGUAGUACAUGAUCAAAUUCAUAGGCAACUUAUUUGCAAUCCAUCAUAUAGUGCUUUUUACUCAUAAUUGACCCAUCAUCUUUCUUAAGAGCUUUAAGACUAAAGAAAUAUUUACACUUUUGCUUUUAAAGCUAUUCACUUUCUCAUAAUUUCAUCAAAUACAAUCAAUAAUCUGAAAAAACAAAAUACCAUCAAGCUUCAAAACCAGUGCUGGGAGCUUUAACAGAACAGACAUUUAUGUAAAUUUAAAGGGUUAUUGUAAGGUUAUCCUAUAAGAAAUUAGGAUAGUGAUGUGUAAGCCAUUGGUUGAUGAUGUCAUGCUUUUAAGAAGCAACCCAAAUUUGUCUUUGUUGUUAGUUAGAAUUGUCUCAUUUUCUCUACAUAUUGAUGUUGACCUUAAGUUAUCUGAAUCAUUAUCAUGAAGAAGUAUUGAGGAAUAUCACUUAUAGUUUUAACAUUCAAAGUUAGAUGAAAC